ACCGCUUCUUGGCUUUUUGGCUAAGAUCAAGUGUAGUAUCUGUUCUUAUCAGUUUAAUAUCUGAUAAACUCUGGGAAUUGGUGAUGGACAGGGAGGCCUGGCGUGCUGCAGUCCAUGGGGUCACAAAGAGUCAGUCACGACUGAGUGAAUGAACUGAAUUGAGCUGAACUGAAUGUCCUCUAUUGAGAACAACAUAUUAAGUGGAUUUUUGGAGCAGGAAGUUGGAAUAGAGGCUUGCUCAGACAAAUACUUUACUGUGUAGACUCUCCUUGGUCCACUGGAGAAUUCUGGUGGUAGACU
This 300-nucleotide small nuclear RNA is filed under the name Cervus hanglu yarkandensis (Yarkand deer). RNAcentral's name for it is "U2 spliceosomal RNA (ENSCHYG00000008289.1)". The stretch from base 1 to 269 matches the Rfam family "U2 spliceosomal RNA". Rfam says of the family: U2 is a small nuclear RNA (snRNA) component of the spliceosome (involved in pre-mRNA splicing). Lineage: Eukaryota; Metazoa; Chordata; Mammalia; Artiodactyla; Cervidae. The record is from Rfam by way of RNAcentral.